This is a non-coding RNA of Taeniopygia guttata (zebra finch), 4941 nucleotides long. The record is from RefSeq and is a predicted model, not a curated record. NCBI's taxonomy places the organism in Eukaryota, Metazoa, Chordata, Aves, Passeriformes, Estrildidae.
GCUGAGGGAAGUGGGAUACCCUGAGAGGAGAGGGAAUGGCUGAGGGAAGUAGGAUACCCUGAGGGGAGUGGAGAACCCUGAGAGGAGAGGGAUACCCUGAGGGGAGAGGGAAUGGCUGAGGGAAGUGGGAUACCCUGAGGGGAGUGGGAUACCCUGAGGGGAGUGGGAAUGGCUGAGGGGAGGGGGAUAUCCUGAGGUGAAAAGGAAUGGCAGAGAGGAGUGGGAAACCCUGAGGGGAAAGAGAAUGACUGAGAGGAGUGGAGAACCCUGAGGGGAGAGGGAUCCCCUGAGGGGAGCAGGAAUGGUUGGGAGGAGUGGGAUCCACUGAGGGCAGUGGGAUCCACCAGGGCAUCAACUCCACACCAACUCACCUGGAAAGGACCUGGUUAAAAGAUCAGAGAUUGUUAUAGGUGGAGGGAAAUAAAUGAUAUUCAAGUUUGGCAAAGAUUUCACUAUAAUCAAUGUAAAUCCGCGUAGGAAUUAUUUCAUGUGUCUUUAUAGCUGAGAUGAGCUCUUUGACUCCAUUCACUUUGUCUAUUCCAAGCUGUAAGAAAUUUUUAAAAUUAUUUUUAUAUCUGGAUUGUGCUGGUACAGACAGAGCCCAUCUCUGGGUUUAGGAAGGAGAAAUAAUCCCUAAAAAUGAGCCCUGAACUGUGCAUUUGCUGGUCUUGCAACACAGAGUGUAACUCAGGUUUUUACUCUAAUGUUACAUCAUUUCAGCCAGCACUCACUUGUACUUAACUCAUACGGGAGAAUCAUGUAAGGUACAGUGAAAAUGACUCUCAACAGCAACAGUUUAAUGUAUAUUUUGAUAUAAGAAUAUGGUGGUGUUUGUGCAGUGACACACAAGCCAUCAGGAACUACCUGCUGAGGAGUUUCUUGUUUAUUAGCUCUUAUAUUAAAGAAAUAAAGGGUAAUAACUUGGGUGUAGAUCUUGAACCUGCAAUUCGACAGACCCAGUCCAGCCCCUGAGCUCACAUUCCCCAAAUCUUCGAUAUCUUCUGUCUGAUCCAGGUUAAUUAGAAGCCAGGGUCCAGGAUUUUCUGACAUUCAGCUCAAAGCUGGUACUUUUACAAGAAAUAUAAAUAAGAGUAAUUAAUAUGUGUGAAACACUGUCAGAGUAUGGCGUCGAAAUACCAAAUUACUUGCUCACCUGGUUACAGAACAGUUCCUUCUGUAGCUCAAAACCACUGGAAAUUUCUGAACACCACAAAAAGUAAUCUGCAUUCCCACCUACACCUUUCUUUCUCAGUUUUUUACCUCCCCUUUUUUCUUUAUGAGCUGCCUGCUAGUGUCACAUCUCACUCCUUGUCUGGACAAGUCCCGGUGCUGUUUUGGGAUAGAUCCCAUCUGGAGCAAAGCUCUGCCCAUGUGUAAAACCUGUUCUGCAACAUCCUCUUUCUUAGGGAAACAAGUAUUCCUGUUGUGCUUGAUGCGAUCCCUGCUGGGUCCUGGAGCCAGGAGAGCGAGGAGGGGAACAGAACCAGCUUCCAGGAGGAGUCUUGUGAAGGCACUGGACACAGCUUGCCCUGGGCUGUGGCUGCUGGAGAGCAGAGGAGAGCUCAGGGGGAAAGAGUGUGUGAGGCAAGGUGAGAAAUAAGAGCACAGACGUCACCCACCCCUGCUGCGUGCGUGGAACAGAAAGAGCUGCUUGAAAGAUUACUUGAGGACAUCUGGGUUCCAGGUCAAACUCUGGAUCUUGACAGCUUUCAGUGUGACACUUCGGUGUACCUGCAUGCAGGGGCAGAAGGACACUUGUCCUUCAGCAGUGCAGUGUUUGCCAGGGAGUCUGAGCCUCUGAGUGAGUUUUACAGUGUAAAAUGUGUAAUUUUGCCACAUGAAAGUUAUAAAGAAACAGAGCAAAGAAUUAAUAUGAUUCAAAAAGAGCCUGAAAGACAGUGCUUGAACUUCCUGCUCUAAGCCCAGCGUGAGUCAUGGGCUCAGAACCCCCGUGGACCCUGAGAGGUGGCGUGUGGAGGGUUCGGUCUGGCUGACGUCAGCUGUGUGAAAUAGUCCCCAGUGCAGAACCAGUUUGCUAUGGGCAGAUCCCAAACCAUUUCCAUAUGUUACUUUGAAGAAGAAAAUGACUGGUAAGACUCAAAACAGAGGAAGCAAGUGCCAAGAAACAAAAUGCCCUGAAGUGGCCAGAUCUAACAGAUAGACCAGUGGGGGAAUCCAUCUCCAUCUGCCAGACAUGCCUGCUGCAGCACAGCUCUUCAGACUCCCAGCGUGCUUCCCAGCUGGAAGGCUCCCAACACCCAAGGGGCAACACUGGGAACAUUUUACCUCCUGAGUCAGUGCUGACGAGCUCAGCAUGAGGCAGGCUGUGAUUAUCAGAGCUCUGUCACACAGCUCUCCUGUGUUGGCUGAACCACAGCCUCUACGGCAUUUUUGAAAAAGCCUGGAUACCCUGGUUAAAUCCUGACAUUGAUAAUGCUGCUCUUCCUGCCACCCAGCCAGGCUGAUGAACUUGAACUCAGUGCUCUCUUUUCUAGCCUAGGGAGUUCUGUCCUAGAUCAGAUUAGCCUCCAUCUCAACAGCAGGGCAAGAAGUCUUUAAGCAGCCUCCUGACAAUAUUUGUUGGGAACUCCUUGCUCAGGUGUCUCUGCACUUCAAGGACUCUCCCUCUCCUCAGCUCCAGAUGAGGACAGGCAUUAAUGCAGUGGGAAACAGUUCCAGGUCCGGGUUAGGCUGCCCCACAAGACAUGGGAGAUAGAAAACAGCACCUGAAGUGGGGCAAAAAAAGCUGCUGCAAGGCUCAUGCCUCCAGAGAGAAGGAAGGAGAUGGGAGAGCAGCAGGUCUGUGCUUCCUGCAGUUUGGAUCUGAGCAGGCUUUGUCCUGCAUCAUUAACUUCAUACAACCUCUGGGCAGCCUCAGCAGUUCAUGAACUGCCCAAGCAUCUGCAAAUGUUAUUCUUCACUUCCAGAUCUCUCUGACACAGACCAAAUUAAAGAGCACCAAGAUAGUGUGCAGCUACUGAUGACUUCUUUUCCGAGAAUGCCUGUGAAAUACUCCCAGUGUUUCUUUUGUAACAGAAUGUAAAUACCCUCAUUGAAAAGAAUCCUCAGUUCUUCUGCUUUUAACACAGUCUGGGGAGAGCUCCCUCUCUGAGUAUCAUCUGGGACACAGUUCUUCUGCAAAAUAAAUGCACACAUAAAAGCAUUCAAAACAUUUGAAUUUGCUUAUGUGCUUUUCUCGGUGCAAAGCAGGUGGCAAAGUAAACACAUUGGUCAGAUCCACUCUCCUUGGUCUGGACUGCCAUCCAAACAAUGUCUGGACCAACAUCUAACAAACUGGCUACAGAAUCAAGCCAUUUCUGAGGCAAGUUGCUGCCUCCCUCCCACAAGAUAAUAGAGCAUUUUCCCAGAUGGAAGGAACCCACUUGAAAAACAAAAGGUCUUUGAAAUGUCAGCUCAGGCUUGCUUGGCCCGCACUGUGUGCCCACAGGAAAACGAUAGAGCCUUUUUUCAUUCUCCAGCUGUAACACUUUCAUCUGAAGCAGCACGAUGAUUAAGAAUUGCAGCUCUAGAUUCCUGCUCUCCUACUGAUUUCCAGCCUUUCCUGUGGAAGUCAUUUAGCCUCACUCUAUCUCCAGCACAAUGAGGAUAAAAGCACUCUCUGGGCUGAGCAUGGAUCCAAGCUCAUGAGAGGUUUGCAUGCUCCAGUAAUGGGGAUCAGUAAUUGAACUGCUUGAACAAGCUCCAAGCCAGUCACAGGAGAACUGAUCCAGUGUGGCUGGCAAACUUGUCAGGACAUGGCAUCCACAUGGAUGGAUGCUCCCUUGGCUCUGUGGGCACCACAGUGCUGUGGGCAGUGUAGGUGCUACUCUGCAUUCUCUGUUUGAGCUCUGCUAUUAAUGCAUUUAUUACACCAACAUUUUGUGCCACUUCUCCAAACCCCUCCUUGUCUCCUCUAGCAUGGAAGAGGAGAAAGUCCCCCAGGGGAUAAAUCUUCCAUGCUAAGAGCUUGGGCAGUGAGCCUACCUCUCCCAAAAUUCUCCCUCCCAGCUGCUCCCUGCUCUGCUCACACCAGGUUGUGUGGGAACCCAACGUUCCUCUGGCUGUCAGGACCUCCGUAUGUUCCCAGUCUCCCUCUCACAAUGCAACUGUUCUGAUCUCUCACAUCAGAAUAUUUUUUGAUCUUUAGAUAAUUACAGAGGAAUUAUAAUUUGUGCUGUAUCCAAGAGUUAAAGGGAAGGCAAAAGUUUCUCUCUCCCACUUUUAACCCAUUUGCUCUCUGUAAAGGUCUUACGAUUCUCAGCUGAAAACACUCCAAGACUUUCAAGAGUCCAGUGUGCACCCCCAAGAGCCAGGAAGAUGAGCCACCCUUGGCCUGUGUCGCUCCUGUGAGCAGUGUCAGGCCCCCAGGGAGAUAAUUCAUGACCAGGGCAAGUGUGAUGUCCUAAUGCUACUUAGGGAAAUGGAGCAUUUGCCAGAGCGAGGACAAGAUAAGGAACAUUAAUCCAUUUUACAAGGAAAUGCAACAUCCAGUUGUGAGCUCUCCCCUGAUCUCAUCAAGCACAGCUCCCUCCCUGGCAGGACCUGGGACAGGGUCAGCACCUAAAACAGAAAAGGAACAAGCACCAAAAGCAAAGCUCACAAAGCCUUGCUGACAUCCUGGCUGUGGAGUCUGCCAUUCUCCUGUUCUGUUCUUCCUGGCUGAUGCCAGUGCCAGCACAGGGCUCUCAGGGUCCCCAUGAAUCUGUCCCAAUUUCUGUACCUUAAACAGGGGGCAAAGAAUUCCCUGUGCACAUAGCACACACAUCUCCCCUGUGUCCCCCUUCCCCUCCCCACUCCAUGUUAGAACCUGUCCAGACAAUUUAGCAAGACAAGCCAGUCUGCUGGUGACUCUCACAAAUGUGUUCCAUCCAUUGGUUUUUACUUUCCCACAAUUUUAUAUUUAAUACAGGAUUUAUUUACAAUAUAAAAAGAAAAAAAGUC